Molecule: long non-coding RNA, 365 nt
Organism: Sinocyclocheilus rhinocerous
Lineage: Eukaryota; Metazoa; Chordata; Actinopteri; Cypriniformes; Cyprinidae
Exons: 3
Source: RefSeq, a predicted model, not a curated record
UUCUUGUUGUGGUUAUCUGAAUAUUUUACACCAACAUCAUGCAGCUGUGCUGGAAAUUAGCUCUGAUGAUGAUGGUUCUUGUGUGUGUUACUGCGCAGCAAGACGGCUAUUCUACACACAGAAGGAAAAGUUCUGCUCUGAUCCAAAAGCACGCUGGAUUCAAGACCGUCUGAAAGGUCUAAAGGAGAUAGUGGACUGAGAAAAUAGAGGCCUAGAAGAUGCUGCAGAUCUACCUAUAUAUCAAUACAUCUAUCUAUAAAAAGAAGAAUAUAUAUUAUGUUUGUUUAUUUACCAUUAACUUAUGUGAAUGUUAAAAGAUGUUUCACUUAAUUGCUUUAUUUUAUCUGCUUUAAAAUAAAAUUUCA